This 730-nucleotide long non-coding RNA is filed under the name Homo sapiens (human). Its description in RNAcentral is "non-protein coding lnc-TMEM41B-3:1". Lineage: Eukaryota; Metazoa; Chordata; Mammalia; Primates; Hominidae. The record is from RNAcentral.
CAAAGAAUAAUAUAAUUCCACAUUUUUUCUGGCUAGAAAAUUCCAUCUCCCUACUUCCAUGAGGCCUGUUGUCAUCAUUCCAAACACAGAUGAUUCUUCAAUUCCUCAGCAAACCUGUGAUAUAUAGCUUAUAUCACUGGUGUGAAACUUUAAUCAACUGUCUUGUUGUAAAGACAUUUAUGUUUCCUUUUCUUCCCUAUUAGUCUAUCAGCUACUUGAAGUCAAGAACUGUGUCUUAUAUGCCUUCAUAACUCACAGUGCUAGGUUCACCCUGAAAAUGUCACAAGAUUUAUAAAAGGAUUCAUACCACUAAAAUAUAUGAACAGAAUUACAAGAAAUUUUUCUUUUCAGGGGUAUUUUUAAAGUUCUAAAAUUAAGAUUGUGAUAAUUGUUCAAUUUUUUCAAUUUACUAAAAACCACUCAGCUGUACACUCUAAAUGGGUAAAUUUAAAGUGUGUAGGCUGUGCCAGGCGUGGUGUUUUUUAAAUACAUAUACAAGUGUAGAGUUUUAUUUUAGUAGAAUUGGCAUCAAGCUUUAUAUGAUUUGUAAAGGCAGAUUUCAAUUGAAGACUCCAAAUUAAGAGAAAAGGACUCUUCUUCCUAUUCUCUUCCCCUCCUUUCUAACAGCACUAUGAAAUGAAAGUGCUUACCAGCUUUCCACAUCUGCCAAACUAAGCCCAGCUGCUCACACCUUCAGACUAGGUAGCGGCAGCAAAUAACUCCAGAGAGA